RNAcentral lists this ribosomal RNA (431 nucleotides) under uncultured bacterium. RNAcentral's name for it is "partial 16S ribosomal RNA". It matches the Rfam family "Bacterial small subunit ribosomal RNA", at positions 29 to 507 of the family's 1533-position model. The record is from RNAcentral.
AACGAACGCUGGCGGCAGGCCUAACACAUGCAAGUCGAGCGCCCUUUCGGAGGAGCGGCGGACGGGUGAGUAACGCGUGGGAAUAUGCCCUUCUCUACGGAAUAGCCUCGGGAAACUGAGAGUAAUACCGUAUACGCCCUGUGGUGGAAAGAUUUAUCGGGGAAGGAUUAGCCCGCGUUGGAUUAGGUAGUUGGUGGGGUAAUGGCCUACCAAGCCGACGAUCCAUAGCUGGUUUGAGAGGAUGAUCAGCCACACUGGGACUGAGACACGGCCCAGACUCCUACGGGAGGCAGCAGUGGGGAAUCUUAGACAAUGGGGGCAACCCUGAUCUAGCCAUGCCGCGUGAGUGAUGAAGGCCUUAGGGUUGUAAAGCUCUUUCAGCUGGGAAGAUAAUGACGGUACCAGCAGAAGAAGCCCCGGCUAACUCCGUG